RNAcentral lists this small nucleolar RNA (148 nucleotides) under Gambusia affinis (western mosquitofish). The record is from RNAcentral. Lineage: Eukaryota; Metazoa; Chordata; Actinopteri; Cyprinodontiformes; Poeciliidae.
CUUCUGUGAUGAUUCGAUGACGAGACGGAACAGGAACCUCUGGUCCUGCAGGUUGCCGGUUCAGAACCACGUUCUGUGGUUCUGCUCCAGUUCCUCAGAUCCAGGGUUCCUUUUCACGUGAAGACACUGAGGCAUUUGUCUGAGAAGG